Unclassified non-coding RNA from Leptinotarsa decemlineata (Colorado potato beetle), 751 nucleotides. The record is from RefSeq and is a predicted model, not a curated record. Lineage: Eukaryota; Metazoa; Arthropoda; Insecta; Coleoptera; Chrysomelidae.
GUGUUAAAUACGACACACUAAAAAUAAACGAAACAGUGUAUCCUGGCAAAAAAUUAUAAAUAGAGAUUUCUGUACCACGGGUUGUUGCUUGUUGUUCGAAAUAGUAGCGGCGGCGCAUGUCAAGUUUUUGAGCCUAAAAACAAAUGACAAGAAAUAAUGGCAGAUGGAAAAAGUGGAACAGCAGAAGCCAGUGACGAUAUUGAAAAGGGAUCGAGUACAAAAAUAUUAGAGUCGGAGGAAAAUAAUGAACCGUUGGAAAAGGCCAAGGAAAAACCACCACCUGGCAUCAAUGCAUCUUUGGUCCUCCUUUAUGCAGUAUUCUUCUUUAUGUUCACCGUAGGAUGGGUUAGUCUUAACAGUUGUUCUAUCAACAGACUCAUUCCAAUUUAUUUGAUAGUAGCAGGUACAGUUUCGUCGGAGCCUUGGCCAAAUUUUUGAGUGACAGAUCAAACAGAUAUCUGUUCAAUUCAGCCAUAGUGCUUGUAGUUUUUGACAUCGGAUGGCAUGGAUUAGGGACGUACGUCGUUUAUAAGGAAUACCAACCGAAUUACGAUCCUAAAAUUGGCGAAUACUGUAACAGAACGGCAUAUUUACUAGCUUUUUGGAUACUCACCUUCCAGUAUACGCUGUUAGGAAUCUUCAUCAUGUUGUCAUUGUGCUACAUGUUAAUGAGGGGUGAUUUCAAGAAAAAAUAAUAAGCGUACUAUUCAAAAAAAUAUUUAUUUCGAAAAUAUAUUUUAUUUUUAUAAUG